This 168-nucleotide ribosomal RNA is filed under the name Blenniella periophthalmus (blue-dashed rockskipper). RNAcentral's name for it is "partial 12S rRNA". The record is from RNAcentral. Lineage: Eukaryota; Metazoa; Chordata; Actinopteri; Blenniiformes; Blenniidae.
CACCGCGGUUAUACGAGAGGCCCAAGUUGACAGACCACCGGCGUAAAGCGUGGUUACUAUAAUCAUAAACUAAAGUUGAAUGCUCUCAAAGCUGUUAUACGCUCUUGACAGCAAGAACCCCCCCAACGAAAGUGACUUUACCCUAUUGAACCCACGAAAGUUAGGAUA